CAAAUGCUGGCUAUAGCCAAUCAAGUUGUAUAACCUGUGCUUGUGGAGAGUUUGGGUGUGUUGAACCAUCUUUCAUGUGGAGUACUGCUGCUGUGUUCCCGAACUUUUUUUCUCAUUCACAUCAACUUUGUAAAUUUAACUGCUUUCGGGUUUUUAACCGUUUGGUGUAUAGCUGGCCAAUUGGAAGAAGGAGCUUGGAUCUUGUUUGGUACCCGCCAGGCCCCUCGAGCCCAUUGAUCUCUACUCGGCAACCAGAGCACCUGAUGGAUUUCAUUCAGCUUCCAUACUUGAUGGGGUACCAUGUGUAUGGAUAAUAGUUUGUGUGCUUUCUGGUUGGAUAGAAGCUUUCCCAU
Molecule: long non-coding RNA, 353 nt
Filed under: Ictidomys tridecemlineatus (thirteen-lined ground squirrel)
Lineage: Eukaryota; Metazoa; Chordata; Mammalia; Rodentia; Sciuridae
Description: lncRNA (ENSSTOG00000030865.1)
Source: RNAcentral